RNAcentral lists this ribosomal RNA (429 nucleotides) under bacterium. RNAcentral describes it as "partial 16S ribosomal RNA". It matches the Rfam family "Bacterial small subunit ribosomal RNA", at positions 355 to 776 of the family's 1533-position model. The record is from RNAcentral.
UAGGGAAUCUUCGGCAAUGGGGGCAACCCUGACCGAGCAACGCCGCGUGAGUGAAGAAGGUUUUCGGAUCGUAAAGCUCUGUUGUAAGAGAAGAACGUGUGUGAGAGUGGAAAGUUCACACAGUGACGGUAACUUACCAGAAAGGGACGGCUAACUACGUGCCAGCAGCCGCGGUAAUACGUAGGUCCCGAGCGUUGUCCGGAUUUAUUGGGCGUAAAGCGAGCGCAGACGGUUUAAUAAGUCUGAAGUUAAAGGCAGUGGCUUAACCAUUGUUUGCUUUGGAAACUGUUAUACUUGAGUGCAGAAGGGGAGAGUGGAAUUCCAUGUGUAGCGGUGAGAUGCGUAGAUAUAUGGAGGAACACCGGUGGCGAGAGCGGCUCUCUGGUCUGUAACUGACGCUGAGGCUCGAAAGCGUGGGGAGCAAAGAGG